GAUGAACGCUGGCGGCGUGCCUAAUACAUGCAAGUCGAGCGAACAGACGAGGAGCUUGCUCCUCUGACGUUAGCGGCGGACGGGUGAGUAACACGUGGAUCACCUACCUAUAAGACUGGGAUAACUUCGGGACACCGGCGCUAAUACCGGAUAAUAUAUUGCACCGCAUGGUUCAAUAGUGAAAGACGGUUUUGCUGUCACUUCUAGAUGGUUCCGCGCCGCAUUAGCUAGUUGGUAAGGUAACGGCUUACCAAGGCGACGAUGCGUAGCCGACCUGAGAGGGUGAUCGGCCACACGGGAACUGAGACACGGUCCAGACUCCUACGGGAGGCAGCAGAAGGGAAUCUGCCGCAAUGGGCGAAAGCCUGACGGAGCAACGCCGCGUGAGUGAUGAAGGUCUUCGGAUCGUAAAACUCUGUUAUUAGGGAAGAACAAAUGUGUAAGUAACUAUGCACGUCUUGACGGUACCUAAUCAGAAAGCCACGGCUAACUACGUG
RNAcentral lists this ribosomal RNA (497 nucleotides) under uncultured bacterium. Its description in RNAcentral is "partial 16S ribosomal RNA". It matches the Rfam family "Bacterial small subunit ribosomal RNA", at positions 28 to 507 of the family's 1533-position model. The record is from RNAcentral.